This 429-nucleotide ribosomal RNA is filed under the name Fusobacteriota bacterium. RNAcentral describes it as "Fusobacteria bacterium partial 16S ribosomal RNA". It matches the Rfam family "Bacterial small subunit ribosomal RNA", at positions 355 to 776 of the family's 1533-position model. The record is from RNAcentral. Lineage: Bacteria; Fusobacteriati; Fusobacteriota.
UGGGGAAUCUUCCGCAAUGGACGAAAGUCUGACGGAGCAACGCCGCGUGAGUGAAGACGGCCUUCGGGUUGUAAAGCUCUGUGAUCCGGGACGAAAGAGCCUGAGGUGAAUAGCCUAAGGAAGUGACGGUACCGGAAAAGCAAGCCACGGCUAACUACGUGCCAGCAGCCGCGGUAAUACGUAGGUGGCAAGCGUUGUCCGGAAUUAUUGGGCGUAAAGCGCGCGCAGGCGGCUUCCUAAGUCCAUCUUAAAAGUGCGGGGCUUAACCCCGUGAUGGGAUGGAAACUGGGAAGCUGGAGUAUCGGAGAGGAAAGUGGAAUUCCUAGUGUAGCGGUGAAAUGCGUAGAGAUGAGGAAGAACACCGGUGGCGAAGGCGACUUUCUGGACGAAAACUGACGCUGAGGCGCGAAAGCGUGGGGAGCAAACAGG